UACUAGCUACUAUUGAUUUAGUUAGCACUU
This 30-nucleotide non-coding RNA is filed under the name Mus musculus (house mouse). Lineage: Eukaryota; Metazoa; Chordata; Mammalia; Rodentia; Muridae. The record is from RNAcentral.